UCAGCUCGUGUCGUGAGAUGUUGGGUUAAGUCCCGCAACGAGCGCAACCCUUAUUACUAGUUGCCAGCAUUAAGUUGGGCACUCUAGUGAGACUGCCGGUGACAAACCGGAGGAAGGUGGGGACGACGUCAAAUCAUCAUGCCCCUUAUGACCUGGGCUACACACGUGCUACAAUGGAUGGUACAACGAGUCGCGAGACCGCGAGGUUAAGCUAAUCUCUUAAAACCAUUCUCAGUUCGGACUGUAGGCUGCAACUCGCCUACACGAAGUCGGAAUCGCUAGUAAUCGCGGAUC
This 294-nucleotide ribosomal RNA is filed under the name Pediococcus pentosaceus. RNAcentral describes it as "partial 16S ribosomal RNA". It matches the Rfam family "Bacterial small subunit ribosomal RNA", at positions 1055 to 1350 of the family's 1533-position model. Lineage: Bacteria; Bacillati; Bacillota; Bacilli; Lactobacillales; Lactobacillaceae. The record is from RNAcentral.